This 468-nucleotide ribosomal RNA is filed under the name uncultured bacterium. Its description in RNAcentral is "partial 16S ribosomal RNA". It matches the Rfam family "Bacterial small subunit ribosomal RNA", at positions 28 to 507 of the family's 1533-position model. The record is from RNAcentral.
GACGAACGCUGGCGGCGUGCUUAACACAUGCAAGUCGAACGGAAAGGCCCUGCUUUUGUGGGUUGCUCGAUUGGCGAACGGGUGAGAAACACGCGAGUAACCUGUCCUUGACUGUGGGAUAACUUCAGGAAACUGGGGCUAAUACCGGAUAGGAUCUCCUGCUGCAUGGUGUGGGUUGGAAAGUUUCGGCGGUUGGGGAUGGACUCGCGGCUUAUCAGCUUGUUGGUGGGGUAGUGGCUGACCAAGGCUUUGACGGGUAGCCGGCCUGAGAGGGUGACCGGCCACAUUGGGACUGAGAUACGGCCCAGACUCCUACGGGAGGCAGCAGUGGGGAAUAUUGCACAAUGGGCGGAAGCCUGAUGCAGCAACGCCGCGUGCGGGAUGACGGCCUUCGGGUUGUAAACCGCUUUCGCCUGUGACGAAGCGUGAGUGACGGUAAUGGGUAAAGAAGCACCGGCUAACUACGUG